UGCACACAUAAGUUCAUGCACCGACUUCACACUCAACUGCUUGACGCAUUAAACUAUGGGGCCAAGUGAUAAUAAUAUCAAUGCAAACUCGUGUAUCUAUAUUCUUGUCGAGACGUACGAAAUUGACAAGUGAGAAUUAUGUAUAACAUCCUCUCAACAGAUUGUCUUCGUCAAAUGAUAGGCUAACACGUGGCAUCUCUUCUUCAUUAGCGAGACUUCAUCAAUCUUCACUAGAGGUAACUUGCUUCAGUGGUAAGUUCCCUUGAUCUUCAUCCAGAUGAGGCAAAAUUCCAUUAAUUCUUCAUUGGUUAUAAGUUCCAAUAAAAGGUAUGUAACUUGGACCAUGAACGACAAGUGCCACCAGGCGCAACCUGUAACCGCUCCAAGGGUUCCUUGAAAUUAACAG
Molecule: long non-coding RNA, 406 nt
Filed under: Helianthus annuus (common sunflower)
Lineage: Eukaryota; Viridiplantae; Streptophyta; Magnoliopsida; Asterales; Asteraceae
Source: RNAcentral